UACGAAGGGGGCAAGCGUUAUUCGGAAUUACUGGGCGUAAAGAGCGUGUAGGUGGUUGUCUAAGUCGGUUGUUAAAUAUCACGGCCUAACUGUGAAACUGCGAUUGAUACUGGAUGACUAGAGGGCAGGAGAGAGAAGUGGAAUUCUCGGAGUAGCGGUAAAAUGCGUAGAUCUCGAGAGGAACACCAAUGGCGAAGGCAGCUUCUUGGUCUGUCCCUGACACUCAAAUGCGACAGCGUGGGGAG
RNAcentral lists this ribosomal RNA (245 nucleotides) under uncultured bacterium. RNAcentral describes it as "partial 16S ribosomal RNA". It matches the Rfam family "Bacterial small subunit ribosomal RNA", at positions 524 to 768 of the family's 1533-position model. The record is from RNAcentral.